Molecule: ribosomal RNA, 301 nt
Filed under: uncultured bacterium
Lineage: Bacteria
Description: partial 16S ribosomal RNA
Rfam family: Bacterial small subunit ribosomal RNA
Source: RNAcentral
CAGUCGCCACGGGAAUACGAAGGGGGCUAGCGUUGUUCGGAAUUACUGGGCGUAAAGCGCACGUAGGCGGAUCGAUCAGUCAGGGGUGAAAUCCCAGGGCUCAACCCUGGAACUGCCUUUGAUACUGUCGAUCUGGAGUAUGGAAGAGGUGAGUGGAAUUCCGAGUGUAGAGGUGAAAUUCGUAGAUAUUCGGAGGAACACCAGUGGCGAAGGCGGCUCACUGGUCCAUUACUGACGCUGAGGUGCGAAAGCGUGGGGAGCAAACAGGAUUAGAUACCCCUGUAGUCCCUGUCUCUUAUAC